GAUGAACGCUGGCGGCGUGCCUAAUACAUGCAAGUCGAGCGAACGGACGAGAAGCUUGCUUUUCUGAUGUUAGCGGCGGACGGGUGAGUAAUACGUGGAUAACCUACCUAUAAGACUGGGAUAACUUCGGGAAACCGGAGCUAAUACCGGAUAAUAUUUUGAACCGCAUGGUUCAAAAGUGAAAGACGGUCUUGCUGUCACUUGUAGAUGGUUCCGCGCUGCAUUAGCUAGUUGGUAAGGUAACGGCUUACCAAGGCAACGAUGCAUAGCCGACCUGAGAGGGUGAUCAGCCACACUGGAACUGAGACACGGUCCAGACUCCUACGGGAGGCAGCAGUAGGGAAUCUUCCGCAACGGGCGAAAGCCUGACGGAGCAACGCCGCGUGAGUGAUGAAGGUCUUCGGAUCGUAAAACUCUGUUAUUAGGGAAGAACAUAUGUGUAAGUAACUGUGCACAUCUUGACGGUACCUAAUCAGAAAGCCACGGCUAACUACGUG
RNAcentral lists this ribosomal RNA (497 nucleotides) under uncultured bacterium. Its description in RNAcentral is "partial 16S ribosomal RNA". It matches the Rfam family "Bacterial small subunit ribosomal RNA", at positions 28 to 507 of the family's 1533-position model. The record is from RNAcentral.